RNAcentral lists this ribosomal RNA (427 nucleotides) under uncultured bacterium. Its description in RNAcentral is "bacterial SSU rRNA". It matches the Rfam family "Bacterial small subunit ribosomal RNA", at positions 355 to 775 of the family's 1533-position model. The record is from RNAcentral.
UGGGGAAUCUUGCCCAAUGGGCGAAAGCCUGAGGCAGCGACGCCGCGUGCGGGAAGAAGGCCUUCGGGUUGUAAACCGCUUUCAGGAGGGACGAAGCCACUCGGGUUAACAGCCCAGAGGGUGACGGUACCUCCAGAAGAAGCCCCGGCUAACUACGUGCCAGCAGCCGCGGUAAUACGUAGGGGGCAAGCGUUGUCCGGAUUUAUUGGGCGUAAAGAGCGUGUAGGCGGCUAGAUAGGUCUGUUGUGAAAACUCGAGGCUCAACCUCGAGACGCCGGUGGAAACCAUCUAGCUAGAGUCCGGAAGAGGAGAGUGGAAUUCCUGGUGUAGCGGUGAAAUGCGCAGAUAUCAGGAAGAACACCCGUGGCGAAGGCGGCUCUCUGGGACGUGACUGACGCUGAGACGCGAAAGCGUGGGGAGCGAACAG